UUUUUUUUUUGUCUUUUUUGAGCACUCUACCCACAGCAUAUGGAGGUUCCCAGGCUAGGGGUUGAAUCAGAGCUGUAGCUGCCAGCCUAUGCCACAGCAAGAGCAACGCCAGAUCUGAGCCACUUCUGUGACCUACACUACUGCUCAUGGCAAGGCCGGAUCAUUAAGCCACUGAGCAAGGCCAGGGAUCAAACCUGCAUCCUCAUGGGUGUGCUAGUCAGAUUCAUUUCCCCUGAGCCAUGAUGGGAACUCCCGAAUUUAGGGAUUUACAAAAGAACAGGUAAGACAUGUCAGUUCUUAGAUGUGUUCUCAAAAAGUGUAUAGUGAGUCUUAAAAUGAUAGAGUCAAAAGAUAGCAUUUCAUUUAAAGGAGAAAGAAAAGGAGGCAGAAAGGAUGAUCCCCUCCAACACCCUACCCCAAAGAGGGGUGGGAAGGAGUAGAAACAUUCAAGAGGGAAUUCUUACAUCUGUACAGACGUUUAUACUUUCAGAGUUUGCAUUUUCAAAUUUAUUUACCAUAUUUAUCGCUCACUAUGACCUCUGAAAACAGGUGGAGUUUAUUAUUCCUACCAUUAAGGAAACGUGCCUGAGACUCACAGGGGUGAAUGCCUCUUCUAAGGUCCACAUACUAGCAGGUCAGUGAACAGGCUUACCUAGCAGCCAGGCAUCCCUACACAGUCUAUUACCUGUGCCAAUGAUGCUAGGCCAAUUUGAUGAAAGCUGGCGAAAGAUUACCAGGAGGUUGCCAAUCUGCUCUGUAUGAACUGAGUUCAUGCAGUUGAUUUGUAUUUAAAUUCCAUACACUCGAAUUAAGGUUAACUUUGAAUGCACAGUAGAAAAGCCAGCAUCAACAUUAACUUUCAAAGGUUUUUUCAGGCCUCCCCCAAUCUAAGUAAGACUUGGGUAGCUGGCUUUCAAGGCCACCACAGUGAGACUUCUAUGAGGAUUUUCAGCUUUAUCUCAUCCAUACCUAAAAAAUGUUUUAAGAUCUUUUUACCCAAGCCAAAUUAUUUGUUUCAGUCCUUCAACAUGAACAAAAGUAAAGAGAGAGGAAGGUAUGAUUUGUUCCGUCUAUAAUAUCUACCUUCUUCUUCUUCUUAUCUCUUUCUCUAACAAUUUAGCCAUCUUUUAGAAGGCUUUAAGAGCCCUCAAAUCAGCUGUGAUUUUCUCCUUUCACAUAGCUUUUCAAAGUUGGUGACACUAGUCACAUCCUGCCUUGUACUACUGUGAAGAAGAGCUAUUACUUUGAGAAACUGUGAAGUAUUCCAUUCCCCAAAUAGAAUACAAAUAAUUUGAUAAAGGAUUAUACCUUUUGUAACUUCUUCAAUUUUAUAUUCCUUUUGCAGAAAAUCUGUCAUAUAGUAGGGAAUUAACAAAUAUUUGUAAAACUGGAUAUAACUAGUCCAAAGAGAAGAAAAUAAAACCUCCAGAUUAAUGAUCCCAACAAUCUACUGACAUGAGAAAGAAAGAGAGAGAAAUAAACCAUAGAGUGAAAUCAAUAAACGAACUUAUUUGAGAGAAUGAAGAACAGUAAAAGUGGAAGGCAUUAAUUAUAUCUUCAGAAGCUGGAAAAAUUUAUGGUGCACAGCUACUAAAGAAAUAACUUUUGGAUGAAUACAUGAAUGAAUGAACAAAAAGAGGAGGAAAAAUGAGAACAAAGAACUGUUAGAAGAUAACCUUAAAAUUGGGUCCAUCCUUCCAAGCCAAAUGCGUAGACAUCAAUAGAAAUUAGGUCAUUGGUUUAAAAAAUACAUCCAAUGGAGUUCCCGUCGUGGCUCAGGGUUAACACACAAACAUGCACACACACACAAUAGCUAAGUAGAACUGACUCAACAAAAAUAUGACGUCUGUGACAUGCUAAUUAAGGGAAAUUGCUUCUGGUGAUCUUAUGUGAGUAAUAACAAACAUUACUUUUUGUAAAGCAAGGCAAUAAUGGAGUCUAAAUAUGGUUUAUAAUAAACACAUAAACACCUUUAUGAUGCAGAUGAACAACUGAAAGAGCGGGAAGUUCAUUUCCCCUUUCGAAAGGGUGAGAAGUUGUUUUAUUUUGCAUUUUGUAAAAUAGAGACAAAUCAUUUAAAAAAAAGAGGUUGAAAAUUCAGAGCGUAGUUUCAUAGUCAAUUACUAUAGUUUUAGAGUGUGAAGAUUUCUGUAUAUAUUUUUUAAAUUUCCCAUUGCCAUUGUUUUUUUUUGUUUUUUUGUUUUUUUUUUCCUCAGUAAAAUUAUAAAGGAAACAGAAAAGAAUGGGAGUGGAUAAGAAGGAGGGAAAAGCAGAAUUGAAGAUGUUCCAGAGAGAAGAGGAAAACUUUAAAAAGGGAGGAGAGUUAGUUAAGUCCAGAAAGAUGAACUAAAUAUUCAAGAUAGAAAUUUAAAAAGUUUAAAAGUUUAAAAAAUUUAAAAGUUUAAAAAGUAAUAUUUUGUUAUGAAAAUGUAAGAUAGCUUAUAAAAAGGCAACAUAUCAAAGGACUACUUUUCCUUCUAAAAAUGAAAGACACAGUGCUUAUAACUUUAUAAAUACUGCUUAUAAAUUAUCAAAAAUCAUAAUAAUUUUCACUAAAUACCAUAUAUUAAAUAAUUUACUUUCCUGUGUCAGUAUUUUGCGUUAAUAUGUUUUCAAAAUCAUGAAGUAAUUGUUGAAGGAAAGAAGAGUUGAAGGUUAUGUG
This 2662-nucleotide long non-coding RNA is filed under the name Sus scrofa (pig). Its description in RNAcentral is "lncRNA (ENSSSCG00050033962.1)". The record is from RNAcentral. Lineage: Eukaryota; Metazoa; Chordata; Mammalia; Artiodactyla; Suidae.